Molecule: non-coding RNA, 407 nt
Organism: Salvelinus sp. IW2-2015
Lineage: Eukaryota; Metazoa; Chordata; Actinopteri; Salmoniformes; Salmonidae
Source: RefSeq, a predicted model, not a curated record
AGGUCUUCAUGAGUCGUGUUCAGUGGGGUGAUGAAGGUCUUCAUGAGUCGUGUUCAGUGGGGUGAUGAAGGUCUUCAUGAGUCAUGUUCAGUGGGGUGAUGAAGGUCUUCAUGAGUCGUGUUCAGUGGGGUGAUGAAGGUCUUCAUGAGUCAUGUUCAGUCGGGUAAUGAAGGUCUUCAUGAGUCAUGUUCAGUGGAGUGUAAUGAUACAGACCAUUCAGACAGAAAUACAGAGCCUUUCAAAAGUAUCUGCAUCACAUGUUAUUGUGUUACAAGGUGGGAUUAAAAGGGAUUUCAUUGUCAUUUCUAGUCAACAAUCUACACAAAAUACUCGGUAAUGUCAAAUAAUAUAUAUAUUUAGAUUGAUAGAAAUGAAAUACCUAAAAUAGUUGUUCCAUAAGUAUUCAG